Molecule: ribosomal RNA, 695 nt
Filed under: Halomonas socia
Lineage: Bacteria; Pseudomonadati; Pseudomonadota; Gammaproteobacteria; Oceanospirillales; Halomonadaceae
Description: bacterial SSU rRNA
Rfam family: Bacterial small subunit ribosomal RNA
Source: RNAcentral
GACACUGACACUGAGGUGCGAAAGCGUGGGUAGCAAACAGGAUUAGAUACCCUGGUAGUCCACGCCGUAAACGAUGUCGACUAGCCGUUGGGAGCCUCGAGUUCUUAGUGGCGCAGUUAACGCGAUAAGUCGACCGCCUGGGGAGUACGGCCGCAAGGUUAAAACUCAAAUGAAUUGACGGGGGCCCGCACAAGCGGUGGAGCAUGUGGUUUAAUUCGAUGCAACGCGAAGAACCUUACCUACCCUUGACAUCUUCGGAAGCCGAGAGAGAUCUUGGUGUGCCUUCGGGAACCGAAAGACAGGUGCUGCAUGGCUGUCGUCAGCUCGUGUUGUGAAAUGUUGGGUUAAGUCCCGUAACGAGCGCAACCCCUGUCCCUAUUUGCCAGCGAUUCGGUCGGGAACUCUAGGGAGACUGCCGGUGACAAACCGGAGGAAGGUGGGGACGACGUCAAGUCAUCAUGGCCCUUACGGGUAGGGCUACACACGUGCUACAAUGGCAGGUACAAAGGGUUGCAAGACGGCGACGUGGAGCUAAUCCCAUAAAGCCUGCCUCAGUCCGGAUCGGAGUCUGCAACUCGACUCCGUGAAGUCGGAAUCGCUAGUAAUCGUGAAUCAGAAUGUCACGGUGAAUACGUUCCCGGGCCUUGUACACACCGCCCGUCACACCAUGGGAGUGGACUGCACCAGAAGUGGUU